AGUGAACGCUGGCGGCAGGCCUAACACAUGCAAGUCGAACGAACCUAUCGGGGUUAUUGGCGGAUGGGUGAGUAACACGUGGGAACGUGCCUUUAUGUUCGGAAUAACUCAGGGAAACUUGUGCUAAUACCGAAUGUGACCUUCGGGGGGAAGAUUAUUUGCCUCUAGAGCGGCCCGCGUCUGAUUAGCUAGUUGGUUGAGUUAAUGGCUCACCAAGGCGACGUUCAGUAGUUGGUCUGUGAGCAUGGUCACAGACAUUGGGAGUGAGACCCGGCCGAAAAUCCUACGGAAAGGAGCAGAGGGGGAUGUUGCACAAUGGGCGGAAGGAUGACGCAGCCAGGCCGGGAAAAUGAUGAAGGUCUGAGGAAAGUAAAAUUCUUUCAACGGGGACGAUAAUGACGGUACCCGGAGAAGAAGCCCCGGCUAACUUCGUG
Molecule: ribosomal RNA, 434 nt
Filed under: uncultured bacterium
Lineage: Bacteria
Description: partial 16S ribosomal RNA
Rfam family: Bacterial small subunit ribosomal RNA
Source: RNAcentral